Small nuclear RNA from Mirounga angustirostris (Northern elephant seal), 104 nucleotides. The record is from RefSeq and is a predicted model, not a curated record. NCBI's taxonomy places the organism in Eukaryota, Metazoa, Chordata, Mammalia, Carnivora, Phocidae.
AUGCUCACUUUGGCAGUACAUAUACUAAAAUUGGAACAAUACAAAGAUUAGCAUGGCCCCUGCACAAGGAUGACAUGUAAAUUCGUGAAGCGUUCCAUAUUUUG